Helianthus annuus (common sunflower) is the source of this 68-nucleotide non-coding RNA. The record is from Rfam. NCBI's taxonomy places the organism in Eukaryota, Viridiplantae, Streptophyta, Magnoliopsida, Asterales, Asteraceae.
UCCAGUGAUGGCAUGAUGUCUUUGAGACAUGAUUUUAAUGACAAUUAUAAGCAUUCUACGUUGAGGCA